Molecule: ribosomal RNA, 460 nt
Filed under: uncultured bacterium
Lineage: Bacteria
Description: bacterial SSU rRNA
Rfam family: Bacterial small subunit ribosomal RNA
Source: RNAcentral
CGCUGGCGGCGCGCCUAACACAUGCAAGUCGAACGAGCGAGAGAGAGCUUGCUUUCUCGAGCGAGUGGCGAACGGGUGAGUAACGCGUGAGGAACCUGCCUCAAAGAGGGGGACAACAGUUGGAAACGACUGCUAAUACCGCAUAAGCCCACGACCCGGCAUCGGGUAGAGGGAAAAGGAGCAAUCCGCUUUGAGAUGGCCUCGCGUCCGAUUAGCUAGUUGGUGAGGUAACGGCCCACCAAGGCAACGAUCGGUAGCCGGACUGAGAGGUUGAACGGCCACAUUGGGACUGAGACACGGCCCAGACUCCUACGGGAGGCAGCAGUGGGGAAUAUUGCACAAUGGGGGAAACCCUGAUGCAGCGACGCCGCGUGGAGGAAGAAGGUCUUCGGAUUGUAAACUCCUGUUGUUGAGGAAGAUAAUGACGGUACUCAACAAGGAAGUGACGGCUAACUACGUG